GCAGACACAUUCCAGCCAAUCAGCAGCAGACCCUCCCUCCCACACCCUGCCACCUCCUGGACAGCAUCCAUUUUGAAGCUGCAUUCUUAGUGAGCUGUCCAAGAGGUGGGAGGGUCUGGGAGGGAGGGUCUGCUGCUGAUUGGCUGGAAUGUGUCUG
Molecule: microRNA precursor, 157 nt
Filed under: Pelobates cultripes (western spadefoot toad)
Lineage: Eukaryota; Metazoa; Chordata; Amphibia; Anura; Pelobatidae
Source: RNAcentral